CCUACGGGGCGCAGCAGUGAGGAAUAUUGGUCAAUGGGCGGGAGCCUGAACCAGCCAUGCCGCGUGAAGGCGAGUGCCCUACGGGCGUUAAACUUCUUUUGUGCGGGAGCAAUAAGGGCCACGUGUGGCCCGAUGAGAGUACCGCACGAAUAAGCAUCGGCUAACUCCGUGCCAGCAGCCGCGGUAAUACGGGGGAUGCGAGCGUUAUCCGGAUUUAUUGGGUUUAAAGGGUGCGUAGGCGGUCCGGAAAGUCAGCGGUAAAAGCCCGGGGCUCAACCCCGGCGAGCCGUUGAAACUGUCGGACU
This 305-nucleotide ribosomal RNA is filed under the name uncultured bacterium. RNAcentral's name for it is "bacterial SSU rRNA". It matches the Rfam family "Bacterial small subunit ribosomal RNA", at positions 338 to 642 of the family's 1533-position model. The record is from RNAcentral.